GGGAUUCACAGGUAACGACGGAGUUUCCCUGUCAGACACCUCAAGGAAUGGUCACUUAUCUGACUAGCAGCUACAGCAGCGACAACAUCACCACCACCCUGGAGCUGGUGCGGGACCUCCUCGACUUUAUGGACUUCAACUCCAGGUUUGACUCGGGUGGCCCAGUAGAUAGCAUGAUGCCGAUGAUGCAGUUCA
Molecule: long non-coding RNA, 195 nt
Organism: Haliotis rubra (blacklip abalone)
Lineage: Eukaryota; Metazoa; Mollusca; Gastropoda; Lepetellida; Haliotidae
Exons: 3
Source: RefSeq, a predicted model, not a curated record